ACGUUUUAACAAAAGACAAUUAUGUAUUAUUUUUCAUAAAACCUAAUAAAUAAAUUAUAUUCCUAAAUAUCAUAUAACCAUAACUACAAUACCGUAUAGUCCAUACAUAUUCACCAAUAUGAAAGUUUUGAUCUUAUAAGUUAAUAUAUUCGUUUAUAACUUUUAUUUUUUUUUAAUCAUAAGAAUCAACAAGACUAGCAUAUGAUUGUGUAAAUUUUUUUGAUGAGUUAUGAACAAUUUUCAUAUGAAAGCUAAACAUGAGCUCAAAUAGAAUUUCAUAACCACGGUUUAAAAAUUAUUAAACUUAGUCUAAAAUAAAAGGGACACACACAUAGUGCUUUCAUAAUGAAAUUUACCAAAUAUAUAUAAAUACUUUGUUUUCCAACUCACAGCAUUUAGCAACUUAUUUCUUUUACAUAGUAGAAGCACCUUAUUUUAUUAGCCGCUGUAAUCCCAAACUAACUCUAUAAUCUAUUAGUUGUGGAAGUGUAAAUCAAUCAAUGAUGAAUCAGUUUAAAUUUGGAUUGAUGAAUCAGUUUAAAUUUGCAGAGACAUCAUAUGAUUGCUUCGCAACUGCCAGACAAGAUCUGCAAAUUAUGCUCAUCAAUGCUUUUAAAUAUGAUUGUCAUGCAAUAGAAGACAAGAUUCCUAUACUUGGCUGUUACAUGUUUUUCUAUAUAAUAGGAAAAUGAAAUUUGAUCUAACAGAGAGACAACUAGCACGUUUUUUUACCACUCAAAAGCCUUCGAGAUCUAAGUCUACCAUGUGAAGAUCAUCAAAAGUUGCUUAUGUUGAUCUUCUUUGAUCUGUACACAACUGGAAUCUUGACGAUUCCGUGUGCACAUAUGCAGAUGAUUCGUGCAAAUCAACAGACAGCGAAAGCAUUUUGAGUUACCUAAUGGGUGUGAAGAUUGAGUCUACCAUGCAUGUGAGUCUCCUUAAUUGGUAUUAUUCUAUCAUCUACCAAGCGACAAGUGGGAUCUUGACAACUUAAUUUAUGAGGUCUAUUUUUUGAAUUGCUUUGAAGUCCUUGUUGUUGGUAGUAUGUGUGUAAAACUUGAUCCAUAGGUUUUACAAUAAGAUUAAUUCUUUUGCUCUAAAUUUAAAAUUUAACCCAUUUAUAUG
RNAcentral lists this long non-coding RNA (1125 nucleotides) under Citrus x clementina. RNAcentral's name for it is "Citrus clementina (C. clementina) long non-coding RNA (CCLE_LNC002622)". The record is from RNAcentral. Lineage: Eukaryota; Viridiplantae; Streptophyta; Magnoliopsida; Sapindales; Rutaceae.